This 22-nucleotide ribosomal RNA is filed under the name uncultured fungus. RNAcentral describes it as "partial 18S ribosomal RNA". The record is from RNAcentral. Lineage: Eukaryota; Fungi.
GUGACCUGCGGAGGAUCAUAUA